AGUCGGUACAAGCGUUGUAUAACUCUCUUCUUUCACCUGAAGCUCAACUAGUUUACCCCUGGAACCAUGGAGCGCUUCAUCUGAAUUUUCAGAAGCGAACGGGUGAGCUAAAACCCUCCAAAACGAAUAACCGGCUGCCCUC
Drosophila suzukii is the source of this 142-nucleotide non-coding RNA. Lineage: Eukaryota; Metazoa; Arthropoda; Insecta; Diptera; Drosophilidae. The record is from RefSeq and is a predicted model, not a curated record.